GUGGCUCAGUGGUAGAGUGCUUGCCUUGCAUGCAUGAGACCCUGGGUUCGAUUCCUCAGC
Non-coding RNA from Dipodomys ordii (Ord's kangaroo rat), 60 nucleotides. Lineage: Eukaryota; Metazoa; Chordata; Mammalia; Rodentia; Heteromyidae. The record is from Rfam.